GUAGGGGAUUGGAGCGUCUGCCGGAUAAUUUUGGACUCCGCAGAGUUUGCUAUCUAGCUCGACCUAGGGACUCAUAAUCCGUUGGUCGCGGGUUCGAGCCCCGCCCGCCCCACCA
Molecule: transfer RNA, 115 nt
Filed under: Mycobacterium intracellulare
Lineage: Bacteria; Bacillati; Actinomycetota; Actinomycetes; Mycobacteriales; Mycobacteriaceae
Description: tRNA-Met
Source: RNAcentral